Long non-coding RNA from Camelina sativa (false flax), 451 nucleotides. RefSeq lists it as uncharacterized. NCBI's taxonomy places the organism in Eukaryota, Viridiplantae, Streptophyta, Magnoliopsida, Brassicales, Brassicaceae. The record is from RefSeq and is a predicted model, not a curated record.
GUGACAAAACAAAAGGAAAAGAGUUAGGGAGCGUUUAAAUCGAUGCUUGAUUUUUCUUUCUUUCUAAUUAGAUUUCUACUUUUCAUUUUGGAGAUUAAGGAAAUUUCACGAAGCAAUCUCAGAUUUGUGCAUCGUAGGAAGAGAUGCUUCAAUGUAUAUUUCUCCUCUCCGAUUCUGGUUUACAGGUCAUCGCGUUGAUGGAUCCAUAUGUGCUUGGUUGUAGGAUCAAUCUAUUAGUCAAGGGCCUCAAGGCUAUCCCUUUAAGGUUUAUAUAUAUAUAUAUAUAUAUGCUCGUGGCAGAUUUUCGUUGUGUCCAUUAAUGCCUCAUGAUUGACAUUGGUCUCAUUUUUCACUCGCAAUCGCUUGUUGCUUUUGAGAUCCUCUUUGUUUACAUCUUGAAGAUAAAUAUGGUAGCAAUUUUGAUAGACGUUGUCAGCUAUUCCAUUCAAUG